UAUUGACGACGAAGACUGUCAACAGCGUGAUCAGGAUUUGGCGAUAGGAUUCCGGAUAGAAAUGGUUAUUUUAAUAAAACAGGACACUUUAAUUAGUAUGCGCUCGCCUUCGUCCCUCAUAGUCCAAAAUGCCGUUAUAAAAUCAUUUGUCUUCCGGAAUUUUUCGCACACCUUUCACGCCGGUGUAUAAAACCAGGCGACAUGUUGUGUUUUGACAUCAGUGUCAAUUCACGAUUUGGUAAUCCAUCUUCAACGACAAAUAAAUGGCUGCCUGUCAAUUCCUGGUGGUCGUCGUCUUAUUCGGUUUCGUCUUUUCCUUGUCAGCAGCAGCGUCGCAGGAGAAAUCCAGCAAAGAAUUGCGAGUAGGUAGUCGAUGCUAUUGGUCGGGAAUGGCCCCAAUUUGUAAUCGAUUCUGUCGGCCGGGAGACCAAGUUGUCGGCAUAUCGACGACAGUUCACGGAAUUCCUUGCCUAGUUGGCCGGGCCAGUUAUUGCUGCCCACGACGUCGCUUGCAUCACCAGCAGCACUUUAAUCAUCUGUAAUCGGUUUACCCCCCUAUCGUAUUGAUUUCUUGUCUACAGUCGACCGUUUGUUUUGUAUAUAACUCGGUUGCUACUUGCCAAUACACGAUAAAGUCUGUCUAUACUAUA
This is a long non-coding RNA of Daphnia pulex (common water flea), 650 nucleotides long. RefSeq lists it as uncharacterized. The record is from RefSeq and is a predicted model, not a curated record. NCBI's taxonomy places the organism in Eukaryota, Metazoa, Arthropoda, Branchiopoda, Diplostraca, Daphniidae. The transcript has 2 exons.